UGCAAGGCGGUUUGUGUUGCCCGGCCCGGGCUGGAUGGGUGGAGCCGGGGCAGCCAUUUCGAACACGGCCUUUAAUAUCGCCCCACUCGUUCUGCUCUUUCCCGGCAUUUUCCGACAGAGCUGUGCUUAUCGAGGUUUGACUCUGUGCCCAAGCUCUGCAUUCCAGGCAGCCAGUCGUACACGUCUGCACCGUGCCCAGCCCAUUUUGGGGUUACAGCUGUUGGAGUUAGUGGGGAAAAAUGUGUUGUCAUAUGGAAUAGCCUCAUUUAUUUUGACAAAAACCAGUCUUCAUGGUAUGAAGGUCCUGUUAAACUUAUCCGCUGUGAUGAAUCGACACAGGACUCUUUCCAGCAUGUCAUGCUCGUGUGGAAGCCUUUGCACCCUGGCAGGACCUGCCAACUGAUGCUGGCAGCCCCACACUUCCAGGAGGGUGAGCAGAGGAGCUGUGUGAGGCAGGAGCAGCAGGCUGGUGCCUCUGGAAGGAGCUGGCUGUGCUGCCCAUCCCAGAGCAGGAGUGCCACACGUGCAGUCUGGGAGCACCACAGAGGUGACAGAUGUGCAGCAGCUCUGGUGCCUGUAAAAAUACCAGUUGCUGUGCAAACACUGUGCAGCCAAAGAAGGGCUGCUUCUCUCUCUAAGUGUUCUUGAACAAAACCCUUCUAGGGGGUGUGCUGUGGGAGCAUGGCAAAGGCCAGGACUUCCAGAACUGGAGAGAUUCCCUGCCUUGAAGGAUCUCUUCACAGCCAGCACAGAACUGGAAAAUCUUAGAAUGGCCUGGGUUGGAAGGGAUCUUAAAGCCCAUCUCAUUCCCACCCUCCUGCCAUGGGCAGGGACACCUUCCACUAUCCCAGGUUGUUCCAGCCCCAUCCAGGCUGGCCUUGGACACUUCCAGGGGUCGAGGGGUAGCCACAGCUGCUCCGAGCACCCUGUGCCAGGGCCUCACCACUCUCACAGGGAGUAUUUCUUCCCAAUAUCUAAUCUAAACCUACUUCUGUCAGUCUUAAACCAUUCCCCCUUGUUCUGUCUCUCCAGGCCCCUGUAAAAAGCUUCUUUCCAUCUUUCUUGUGGGCUCCUUGCAGGUACUGGGAGGUCAAAAUGGACUUUCUGUGCACCUAAGACAGACCUGGACAGAGCUGUACUA
Molecule: long non-coding RNA, 1141 nt
Organism: Vidua chalybeata
Lineage: Eukaryota; Metazoa; Chordata; Aves; Passeriformes; Viduidae
Exons: 4
Source: RefSeq, a predicted model, not a curated record